UUGGGUGUAGCUCAGUGGUUAGAGCGUCGGCCUGAUACGCCGUGUGUCGUGGGUUCAAAUCCCACCACCCAAAC
This 74-nucleotide transfer RNA is filed under the name Streptomyces phage Sycamore. Its description in RNAcentral is "tRNA-Ile". It matches the Rfam family "tRNA". From Rfam's summary of the family: Transfer RNA (tRNA) molecules are approximately 80 nucleotides in length. Their secondary structure includes four short double-helical elements and three loops (D, anti-codon, and T loops). The record is from RNAcentral. Lineage: Duplodnaviria; Heunggongvirae; Uroviricota; Caudoviricetes; Colingsworthviridae.